RNAcentral lists this long non-coding RNA (211 nucleotides) under Elaeis guineensis (African oil palm). Its description in RNAcentral is "long non-coding RNA (EGUI_LNC057987)". The record is from RNAcentral. Lineage: Eukaryota; Viridiplantae; Streptophyta; Magnoliopsida; Arecales; Arecaceae.
AUUGAUCAAUAAUAAUGAAAAGGCAAUGAUGUCCAUAUAGAUAUCAUCUAUUCAUUUCAUGGUAAAUUUGGAUAUUGAAAGUAUAAUUGCAAAAAUAAUCUUGCAAGAUUGAAGCAGAGUACAAGUGUAGCAUUGAAAGGUGUGUAUAUGAUACGACCUAUUUUUAUUGAGUGGCUCAGACUUUGAUAUUUGGAUAUUAGAUACCGCAUGU